This 500-nucleotide ribosomal RNA is filed under the name uncultured bacterium. RNAcentral describes it as "partial 16S ribosomal RNA". It matches the Rfam family "Bacterial small subunit ribosomal RNA", at positions 30 to 523 of the family's 1533-position model. The record is from RNAcentral.
AUUGAACGCUGGCGGCAUGCCUUACACAUGCAAGUCGAACGGUAACAGGUCUUUCGGGAUGCUGACGAGUGGCGAACGGGUGAGUAAUACAUCGGAACGUGCCUAGUAGUGGGGGAUAACUACUGGAAAGAGUGGCUAAUACCGCAUGAGAUCUAUGGAAGAAAGCAGGGGACCUUCGGGCCUUGUGCUACUAGAGCGGCCGAUGGCAGAUUAGGUAGUUGGUGGGAUAAAAGCUUACCAAGCCUACGAUCUGUAGCUGGUCUGAGAGGACGAUCAGCCACACUGGGACUGAGACACGGCCCAGACUCCUACGGGAGGCAGCAGUGGGGAAUUUUGGACAAUGGGCGCAAGCCUGAUCCAGCAAUGCCGCGUGCAGGAUGAAGGCCUUCGGGUUGUAAACUGCUUUUGUACGGAACGAAAAGUCUUGGGUUAAUACCCUGGGAUCAUGACGGUACCGUAAGAAUAAGCACCGGCUAACUACGUGCCAGCCGCCGCAGUAA